Molecule: unclassified non-coding RNA, 408 nt
Filed under: Kodamaea ohmeri
Lineage: Eukaryota; Fungi; Ascomycota; Pichiomycetes; Serinales; Debaryomycetaceae
Description: sequence contains 18S rRNA gene, ITS1, 5.8S rRNA gene, ITS2, 28S rRNA gene
Rfam family: 5.8S ribosomal RNA (bases 121-272)
Source: RNAcentral
UCGUAACAAGGUUUCCGUAGGUGAACCUGCGGAAGGAUCAUUAACAUUAAUUUACUACACACUGUUUUUUUACAACAAAACAAAUCUAUCUAAAAACAAUUCUUUACAAGAAAUUCUUAAAACUUUCAACAACGGAUCUCUUGGUUCUCGCAUCGAUGAAGAACGCAGCGAAAUGCGAUACGUAAUACGAAUCGCAGCUCUCGGAAUCAUCGAAUCUUUGAACGCACAUUGCACCAUUGGGUAUUCCCAAUGGUAUGCUUGUUUGAGCGAAUACUUCCCUAAUCCUCACGGAUUGUAUUGUGUUUGCACGAAAAUAAUGACGACAGUACUCUACAAAACGGUACCGUCAGUACACUCAUUUUUUUUCCUCAAAUCAAGUAGGACUACCCGCUGAACUUAAGCAUAUCA